AACAGUAAGGAGGUAAUCUAGGUUAUAAUGUUAUAAUAGAAUCGUGUAAACAGACAUUCUCCCUGUACCGUGGAAAGCUUUCAAGUUUCUAGAUUUUACUUUAACUUGGUGCAUAUAAAAAUAUCCACAGAGGCAUGAUUAGUAAACAUUAUUUCUGGAUGUCUGAAAUACUAAGCAUAUAGCAUAUGUCUUAAUCAUAACAUAGAAACAUUUCAUGUGUAUACGUAGUAUAAAAAAUGAACACCCCAUCUGGGCUUGUCCAUUGCUAAAUUUCAUUUGUCCAAAGCCACCAAACCACGAUAAGCUGCAAGCCUACAAACCUAUAGAAUCAACUCAUAUCCAAUUCCACUGAUACAAAUCCUCUUCGGUCCCC
RNAcentral lists this long non-coding RNA (373 nucleotides) under Setaria viridis. RNAcentral's name for it is "long non-coding RNA (SVIR_LNC007755)". Lineage: Eukaryota; Viridiplantae; Streptophyta; Magnoliopsida; Poales; Poaceae. The record is from RNAcentral.